Oncorhynchus tshawytscha (Chinook salmon) is the source of this 430-nucleotide long non-coding RNA. The record is from Ensembl. Lineage: Eukaryota; Metazoa; Chordata; Actinopteri; Salmoniformes; Salmonidae.
CCCGCACACUGACUCGGUACCGGUACCCCCUGUAUAUAGGCUCCACACUGACUCGGUACCGGUACCCCCUGUAUAUAGCCUCCACACUGACUAGGUACCGGUACCCCCUGUAUAUAGCCUCCACACUGACUCGGUACCGGUACCCCCUGUAUAUAGCCUCCACACUGACUCGGUACCGGUACCCCCUGUAUAUAGCCUCCACACUGACUCGGUACCGGUACCCCCUGUAUAUAGCCUCCACACUGACUAGGUACCGGUACCCCCUGUAUAUAGCCUCCACACUGACUCGGUACCGGUACCCCUGUAUAUAGCCUCCACACUGACUCGGUACCGGUACCCCCUGUAUAUAGCGUCCACACUGACUAGGUACUGGUACCCCCUGUAUAUAGCCUCCACACUGACUCGGUACCGGUACCCCUAUAUAUAGCCU